UACGAGGGGGGCGAGCGUUGUUCGGAAUUACUGGGCGUAAAGCGUGCGUAGGCGGUUUGUUAAGUCCGUUGUGAAAGCCCUGGGCUCAACCUGGGAAUUGCAGUGGAUACUGGCGAGCUAGAGUGCGGUAGAGGAUGGUGGAAUUCCCGGUGUAGCGGUGAAAUGCGUAGAGAUCGGGAGGAACACCCGUGGCGAAGGCGGCCAUCUGGACCAGCACUGACGCUGAGGCACGAAAGCGUGGGGAGCAAACAGG
Molecule: ribosomal RNA, 253 nt
Filed under: uncultured bacterium
Lineage: Bacteria
Description: partial 16S ribosomal RNA
Rfam family: Bacterial small subunit ribosomal RNA
Source: RNAcentral